GCCAUGGUCUAAGUACAAGCCGAUUUAAGGUGAAACCGCGAAUGGCUCAUUAAAUCAGCUAUGAUUCAUUGGAUCUGUACCCACACUUACUUGGAUAACUGUGGUAAUUCUAGAGCUAAUACAUGCACUAAGUCUCUGACCGCAAGGGAAGAGCGCUUUUAUUAGUUCAAAACCGGUCGGGCCUCGGUCCGUCACCCCACCGUGUUGAAUCUGAAUAACUUGUGGCUGAGCGCACGGUCUCCGCACCGACGCCGCCUCUUUCAAGUGUCUGCCUUAUCAGCUUUCGAUUGUAGGCUAUACGCCUACAAUGGCUAUAACGGGUAACGGGGAAUCAGGGUUCGAUUCCGGAGAGGGAGCCUGAGAAACGGCUACCACAUCUAAGGAAGGCAGCAGGGUUGCUGAUUACCCACUCGCCGGACGUGGAGGUAGUGGCGAAAAAUAACGAUGCGAUACUCUUCCAAGGCCUCGGCCCUCGGGAAAAUACUCUUUAUAUCUUUUAACAAGAAAUCUAUUGUGGGCGGGAUUUGGUGGUCUGAGCCGCCACGUCCUUUUG
Molecule: ribosomal RNA, 553 nt
Filed under: Parathelphusa sp. JP-2019
Lineage: Eukaryota; Metazoa; Arthropoda; Malacostraca; Decapoda; Gecarcinucidae
Description: SSU rRNA
Rfam family: Eukaryotic small subunit ribosomal RNA (bases 1-438)
Source: RNAcentral